Molecule: long non-coding RNA, 1067 nt
Organism: Rattus norvegicus (Norway rat)
Lineage: Eukaryota; Metazoa; Chordata; Mammalia; Rodentia; Muridae
Source: Ensembl
GGAAGCAAAAACUUGUUCUACAUAGUUAUACCCAGGCCAGUCAGAGCUAUAUGGUGUAACCCUCAGAAGAGAGCCAUACCAUUGCCCCAUCCCAUUAGAGUUAAUCCAAAUGGUCUGUCUGUUCUCGAAACUUCAGUUUAUACUCUACCUCAAUAUGGGUUUGGCACAGUGGUACCAUUGUUCAUUCUUUGUGAGUGUACUUUCUUUGUAAUCUCUCUGUCCAUUCUUCAUUUUCUUCUAUUACUGUACUUUAUGUGUUUCAUCUGAAAUCAAUCAACAGUAAAUACAGGAACUGGGGAGCUCAGGGGAGGCUAUGGAGAGGAACUCCAAACAGUGCCUUCCUAGACACUUUUUUGUUUUGUUUUGUUUUUGAUUUGACAGAUCUUUAUGGGAAAAAAAAUGCUCUCUUGCCUGUCUCCUCUCCUUUCAGACAUAAUAAAGAUUUUUAGUCUCAUUUUGAACUGCCCUAGAUUGUAGGAAGCACUGAAUUUCUUUUACAUUCUUCCCCCAAACCCCCUGGGACCAAACCCAGGGCCUUGUGCUUGCUAGGCAAGUGCUCUACCUCUGAGCUAAAUCCCCAACUCCAGCACUGGAUUUCUUAACAAGUACAAGAUGAGGCUGUUCUUAAUAUGUCUCUGCCAGUACCUGGCUGGGACUCAGUGCAUUUUUUAAUCUUCAUCAGAAAAAAUUCUUCCUUCAGUAGACGGCAGUUAACACAGAGAUCUAUAACUGGACAAUAUGCAGAAAGUGAGAGACUAUGGAACACGCAGUUCUAAAUGGGAUGUCUCUGUCAAACUCCUCCCCUCAAAGCUCAAGGAUUUAUAUGGAAAAAGAACCAGAAAACACAGAUUGUAAGAGCCACAGAUCCAACACAAGAGAAAACAUGUCUAAGAAUCUAGGAGUGUUCCUUUUAUCUCUGCCCAGCUGGAAUCCGAAGGGUUGAUCAUGGCAGGCUGGAUGACAGUCAAGAGACAGGAGAUGUUGAUGGACACAUCCCUCCCCGUGUUGUGAAAAUAUAAAGAGAAGAUGCAUACAAAAUCCUUGAACACAAGGUUCCAUCCAAGCAG